AUGGGGUGCAGCAGGGGCGAAACCUCAGCAAUACACGAAAGUGUGACUGGGUUACCCAAAGUGUUCAAUUUUGAACUGUGGUAGGAGAGUAAUGUCCCCUACUAGAAAGGAGAGGGCAAGGCUGGUGCCAGCCGCCGCGGUAAAACCAGCUCUUCAAGUGGUCGGGAUAAUUAUUGGGCUUAAAGUGUCCGUAGCCGGUUUAGUAAGUUCCUGGUAAAAUCAGGUAGCUUAACUAUCUGGAUGCUAGGAAUACUGCUAUACUAGAGGGCGGGAGAGGUCUGAGGUACUACAGGGGUAGGGGUGAAAUCUUAUAAUCUUGUAGGACCACCAGUGGCGAAGGCGUCAGACUGGAACGCGCCUGACGGUGAGGGACGAAAGCCAGGGGAGCGAACCGGAUUAGAUACCCGGGUAGUCCUGGCCGUAAACGAUGCAUACUAGGUGAUGGUACGGCCAUGAGCCGUGUCAGUGCCGUAGGGAAACCGUUAAGUGUGCCGCCUGGGAAGUACGGUCGCAAGGCUAAAACUUAAAGGAAUUGGCGGGGGAGCAC
Molecule: ribosomal RNA, 547 nt
Filed under: uncultured crenarchaeote
Lineage: Archaea; Thermoproteati; Thermoproteota
Description: bacterial SSU rRNA
Rfam family: Archaeal small subunit ribosomal RNA
Source: RNAcentral